CAGUAGCCGCGGGAAAACGUAGGGUGCAAGCGUUAAUCGGAAUUACUGGGCGUAAAGCGUGCGCAGGCGGUGUUGUAAGACUGAUGUGAAAUCCCCGGGCUCAACCUGGGAACUGCAUUGGUGACUGCAACGCUGGAGUGCGGCAGAGGGGGAUGGAAUUCCGCGUGUAGCAGUGAAAUGCGUAGAUAUGCGGAGGAACACCGAUGGCGAAGGCAAUCCCCUGGGCCUGCACUGACGCUCAUGCAUGAAAGCGUGGGGAGCAAACAGGAUUAGAUACCCGCGUAGUCCCUGUCUCUUAUAC
RNAcentral lists this ribosomal RNA (301 nucleotides) under uncultured bacterium. Its description in RNAcentral is "partial 16S ribosomal RNA". It matches the Rfam family "Bacterial small subunit ribosomal RNA", at positions 509 to 807 of the family's 1533-position model. The record is from RNAcentral.